RNAcentral lists this ribosomal RNA (394 nucleotides) under uncultured bacterium. RNAcentral describes it as "bacterial SSU rRNA". It matches the Rfam family "Bacterial small subunit ribosomal RNA", at positions 28 to 427 of the family's 1533-position model. The record is from RNAcentral.
GAUGAACGCUAGCGGCAGGCUUAACACAUGCAAGUCGAGGGGUAUAGUAGCAAUACUAGAGACCGGCGCACGGGUGCGUAACGCGUAUGCAAUCUACCUUUUACAGAGGGAUAGCCCAGAGAAAUUUGGAUUAAUACCUCAUAGCAUUGCGAAAUGGCAUCAUUUUGCAAUUAAAGUCACAACGGUAAAAGAUGAGCAUGCGUCCCAUUAGCUAGUUGGUAAGGUAACGGCCUACCAAGGCAACGAUGGGUAGGGGUCCUGAGAGGGGAGAUCCGCCACACUGGAACUGAGACACGGUCCAGACUCCUACGGGAGGCAGCAGUGGGGAAUUUUGGACAAUGGGCGCAAGCCUGAUCCAGCCAUGCCGCGUGAGUGAAGAAGGCCUCGUGUUAGA